UUGGAGGGCAAGUCUGGUGCCAGCAGCCGCGGUAAUUCCAGCUCCAAUAGCGUAUAUUAAAGUUGUUGCAGUUAAAAAGCUCGUAGUUGAAUUUCGGGAUCAAUAUUUCGGUCAUGCCGUUGGUAUGCACUGUUAUCAUUGAUUUCUCACCUUCUAAAGAACCGUAAUGCCAUUAAUUUGGUGUUACGGGGAAUUAGGACUGUUACCUUGAAAAAAUUAGAGUGUUUAAAGCAGGCUCACGCUUGAAUACAUUAGCAUGGAAUAAUGAAAUAGGACAUCCGAUUCUAUUUUGUUGGUUUCUAGGAUCGAUGUAAUGAUUAAUAGGGAUAGUUGGGGGUAUUAGUAUUCAAUUGUCAGAGGUGAAAUUCUUGGAUUUAUUGAAGACUAACUACUGCGAAAGCAUUUGCCAAGGAUGUUUUCAUUAAUCAAGAACGAAAGUUAGGGGAUCGAAGACGAUCAGAUACCGUCGUAGUCUUAACCAUAAACUAUGCCGACUAGGGAUCGGAUGAUGUUAAUUUUUUAAUGACUCAUUCGGCGCCUUACGGGAAACCAAAGUGUUUGGGUUC
Molecule: ribosomal RNA, 566 nt
Filed under: uncultured Glomus
Lineage: Eukaryota; Fungi; Glomeromycota; Glomeromycetes; Glomerales; Glomeraceae
Description: SSU rRNA
Rfam family: Eukaryotic small subunit ribosomal RNA
Source: RNAcentral